UGCCGCUUCACUUCCUUCACAAUAUCCAGCGCUUAAAACCAUCUUUAUCUCUUAGUUUGCUUCCUAUGGAACCCUCAUUUGCUAACCUAAUCCUAUUCCUCUCACUAGCUUUUAGAAAUUACAAAGGCUUUGAUUCUGCUUUACCUCUUUGAGUCUGGAAUUGCAACCCUAGAAAGACAAAUUACAGGAGAACAACGAUUGGAUCAUAAAACACUUGAUGGAUCCCUCAUGAUGAUAUUGAAAAGCAGAAGGCUACAAGCAUAAGCUGCGGGUGUUGCUUAUUCUUAGUUGAUGACUAAUCAUACCAGUCAAAUGGCAGUUUUUGGAGCAGACAUGAUUAGUAGGGGUGUUCAUGGUCCAGUUUUUACGGUGGUGUGGAAGACGUGAGUAGAUGGGUGAGAAGGCAACGUAGUGAGCGUGCUUCGUGCAAAUUUCUAUGCGGUUUUGUUGCUAGCUGCCACCACAUAUCUGCUUCAUGUUGCAAAAUAUCAAAGACAAGUAGAGUCCCUGUUAUAGUUAAGGCAUCAAAGCGGAGUUGAGCAUAUUUGUUUGUGGAAAACUCUGUAACAAUGGUGGUGGCUAUCAAAAGUUUGGUGGCAAACGAUAAUGUUGAUAGCGGUCAGAUGUUCAGGUAGCCACUGGAAUAUGGUGGUUGUUUGGGCGGCGAUUGGAAGUUCGCGCAACCACUGAAAUCUGGUAGUUUUGGGGCAGCACUCAGAAGUCUGGGCUGCAACCGGAGUUAGGUGGUUUUAGCUUUGUAUCUGUUUGAUAUGUAGUUCAUCUCUCUCUGUAUCAUUGUUAGUGUUGGUUUAUGGGUUAAGAUUAAGAGACAAUUUCAACGACUUCACAAAUUCUCAACAACACAUUCGGUGUUUAGAAGAUGUUAACAAAAUGGUAUAGGCCAUUCUGACCCGUUCUAACACUUGCCCAUUACUGUGAUAACUGGCACAAAACCGGUAAUUUCCGUACAGUCGAAUUAUUAGUUAAUAUCUGCAAUUAUGUGCUUAAAUGUCAACAUUGUCUGAUUUCAUG
Molecule: long non-coding RNA, 1032 nt
Filed under: Helianthus annuus (common sunflower)
Lineage: Eukaryota; Viridiplantae; Streptophyta; Magnoliopsida; Asterales; Asteraceae
Description: hypothetical non coding rna
Source: RNAcentral